GACGAACGCUGGCGGCGUGCUUAACACAUGCAAGUCGAACGGAAAGGCCCUGCUUUUGUGGGGUGCUCGAGUGGCGAACGGGUGAGUAACACGUGAGUAACCUGCCCUUGACUUUGGGAUAACUUCAGGAAACUGGGGCUAAUACCGGAUAGGAGCUCCUGCUGCAUGGUGGGGGUUGGAAAGUUUCGGCGGUUGGGGAUGGACUCGCGGCUUAUCAGCUUGUUGGUGGGGUAGUGGCUUACCAAGGCUUUGACGGGUAGCCGGCCUGAGAGGGUGACCGGCCACAUUGGGACUGAGAUACGGCCCAGACUCCUACGGGAGGCAGCAGUGGGGAAUAUUGCACAAUGGGCGGAAGCCUGAUGCAGCAACGCCGCGUGCGGGAUGACGGCCUUCGGGUUGUAAACCGCUUUCGCCUGUGACGAAGCGUGAGUGACGGUAAUGGGUAAAGAAGCACCGGCUAACUACGUGCCAGCAGCCGCGGUGAUACGUAGGGUGCGAGCGUUGUCCGGAUUUAUUGGGCGUAAAGGGCUCGUAGGUGGUUGAUCGCGUCGGAAGUGUAAUCUUGGGGCUUAACCCUGAGCGUGCUUUCGAUACGGGUUGACUUGAGGAAGGUAGGGGAGAAUGGAAUUCCUGGUGGAGCGGUGGAAUGCGCAGAUAUCAGGAGGAACACCAGUGGCGAAGGCGGUUCUCUGGGCCUUUCCUGACGCUGAGGAGCGAAAGCGUGGGGAGCGAACAGGCUUAGAUACCCUGGUAGUCCACGCUGUAAACGGUGGGUACUAGGUGUGGGGUCCAUUCCACGGGUUCCGUGCCGUAGCUAACGCUUUAAGUACCCCGCCUGGGGAGUACGGCCGCAAGGCUAAAACUCAAAGGAAUUGACGGGGCCCCGCACAAGCGGCGGAGCAUGCGGAUUAAUUCGAUGCAACGCGUAGAACCUUACCUGGGUUUGACAUGGAUCGGGAGUGCUCAGAGAUGGGUGUGCCUCUUUUGGGGUCGGUUCACAGGUGGUGCAUGGCUGUCGUCAGCUCGUGUCGUGAGAUGUUGGGUUAAGUCCCGCAACGAGCGCAACCCUUGUUCACUGUUGCCAGCACGUUAUGGUGGGGACUCAGUGGAGACCGCCGGGGUCAACUCGAAGGAAGGUGGGGAUGACGUCAAGUCAUCAUGCCCCUUAUGUCCAGGGCUUCACGCAUGCUACAAUGGCUGGUACAGAGAGUGGCGAGCCUGUGAGGGUGAGCGAAUCUCGGAAAGCCGGUCUCAGUUCGGAUUGGGGUCUGCAACUCGACCUCAUGAAGUCGGAGUCGCUAGUAAUCGCAGAUCAGCAACGCUGCGGUGAAUACGUUCCCGGGGCUUGUACACACCGCCCGUCAAGUCAUGAAAGCUGGUAACACCCGAAGCCGGUGGCCUAACCGUUGUGGGGGAGCCGUCGAAGGUGGGACUGGUGAUUAGGACUAA
This 1449-nucleotide ribosomal RNA is filed under the name uncultured organism. Its description in RNAcentral is "16S ribosomal RNA". It matches the Rfam family "Bacterial small subunit ribosomal RNA". The record is from RNAcentral.